ACUCCUACGGGAGGCAGCAGUGGGGAAUAUUGCACAAUGGGCGCAAGCCCUGAUGCAGCCAUGCCGCGUGUAUGAAGAAGGGCCUUCGGGUUGUAAAGUACUUUCAGCAGUGAGGAAGGCGGGUACGUUAAUAGCGUGCUCGUUUGACGUUAGCUGCAGAAGAAGCACCGGCUAACUCCGUGCCAGCAGCCGCGGUAAUACGGAGGGUGCGAGCGUUAAUCGGAAUUACUGGGCGUAAAGCGCAUGCAGGUGGUUUGUUAAGUCAGAUGUGAAAGCCCGGGGCUCAACCUCGGAAUUGCAUUUGAAACUGGCAGACUAGAGUACUGUAGAGGGGGGUAGAAUUUCAGGUGUAGCGGUGAAAUGCGUAGAGAUCUGAAGGAAUACCGGUGGCGAAGGCGGCCCCCUGGACAGAUACUGACACUCAGAUGCGAAAAGCGUGGGGAGCAAACAGGAUUAGAUACCCUGGUAGGAUAGCG
This 476-nucleotide ribosomal RNA is filed under the name uncultured bacterium. Its description in RNAcentral is "bacterial SSU rRNA". It matches the Rfam family "Bacterial small subunit ribosomal RNA", at positions 335 to 799 of the family's 1533-position model. The record is from RNAcentral.